UACGGAGGGGGCUAGCGUUGUUCGGAAUUACUGGGCGUAAAGCGCACGUAGGCGGAUCAGUCAGUUAGAGGUGAAAGCCCAGGGCUCAACCCUGGAACUGCCUUUAAUACUGCUGGUCUGGAGUCCGAGAGAGGUGAGUGGAAUUCCGAGUGUAGAGGUGAAAUUCGUAGAUAUUCGGAGGAACACCAGUGACGAAGGCGGCUCACUGGCUCGGUACUGACGCUGAGGUGCGAAAGCGUGGGGAGCAAACAGG
Molecule: ribosomal RNA, 253 nt
Filed under: uncultured bacterium
Lineage: Bacteria
Description: partial 16S ribosomal RNA
Rfam family: Bacterial small subunit ribosomal RNA
Source: RNAcentral